This 344-nucleotide unclassified non-coding RNA is filed under the name soil metagenome. RNAcentral describes it as "partial contains 5.8S ribosomal RNA, internal transcribed spacer 2, and large subunit ribosomal RNA". The stretch from base 1 to 120 matches the Rfam family "5.8S ribosomal RNA", at positions 35 to 154 of the family's 154-position model. The record is from RNAcentral.
GAUGAAGAACGCAGCGAAAUGCGAUACUUGGUGUGAAUUGCAGAAUCCCGUGAAUCAUCGAGUCUUUGAACGCACAUUGCGCCCCCUGGUAUUCCGGGGGGCAUGCCUGUCCGAGCGUCAUUGCUGCCUCAAGCACGGCUUGUGUGUUGGGCCUCCGUCCUCCUCCCGGGGGACGGGCCCGAAAGGCAGCGGCGGCACCGCGUCCGGUCCUCGAGCGUAUGGGGCUUCGUCACCCGCUCUUGUAGGCCCGGCCGGCGCUUGCCGACACAUCAAUCUUUUUUCCAGGUUGACCUCGGAUCAGGUAGGGAUACCCGCUGAACUUAAGCAUAUCAAUAAGCGGAGGA